Molecule: ribosomal RNA, 897 nt
Filed under: uncultured bacterium
Lineage: Bacteria
Description: bacterial SSU rRNA
Rfam family: Bacterial small subunit ribosomal RNA
Source: RNAcentral
CGGCGUGCCUUAAUACAUGCAAGUCGAGCGAACGGACGAGAAGCUUGCUUCUCUGAUGUUAGCGGCGGACGGGUGAGUAACACGUGGAUAACCUACCUAUAAGACUGGGAUAACUUCGGGAAACCGGAGCUAAUACCGGAUAAUAUUUUGAACCGCAUGGUUCAAAAGUGAAAGACGGUCUUGCUGUCACUUAUAGAUGGAUCCGCGCUGCAUUAGCUAGUUGGUAAGGUAACGGCUUACCAAGGCAACGAUGCAUAGCCGACCUGAGAGGGUGAUCGGCCACACUGGAACUGAGACACGGUCCAGACUCCUACGGGAGGCAGCAGUAGGGAAUCUUCCGCAAUGGGCGAAAGCCUGACGGAGCAACGCCGCGUGAGUGAUGAAGGUCUUCGGAUCGUAAAACUCUGUUAUUAGGGAAGAACAUAUGUGUAAGUAACUGUGCACAUCUUGACGGUACCUAAUCAGAAAGCCACGGCUAACUACGUGCCAGCAGCCGCGGUAAUACGUAGGUGGCAAGCGUUAUCCGGAAUUAUUGGGCGUAAAGCGCGCGUAGGCGGUUUUUUAAGUCUGAUGUGAAAGCCCACGGCUCAACCGUGGAGGGUCAUUGGAAACUGGAAAACUUGAGUGCAGAAGAGGAAAGUGGAAUUCCAUGUGUAGCGGUGAAAUGCGCAGAGAUAUGGAGGAACACCAGUGGCGAAGGCGACUUUCUGGUCUGUAACUGACGCUGAUGUGCGAAAGCGUGGGGAUCAAACAGGAUUAGAUACCCUGGUAGUCCACGCCGUAAACGAUGAGUGCUAAGUGUUAGGGGGUUUCCGCCCCUUAGUGCUGCAGCUAACGCAUUAAGCACUCCGCCUGGGGAGUACGACCGCAAGGUUGAAACUCAAAGGAAUUGACGGC